GAAAAAGGAGAGAAAGUUCUUGGUUCAUAAAUCUUCAAAGCUUGAUUUCUUCUGAACUAAAACUCAAAUCCAAACUCCGAUUUCACCAAAAAGAUCCUCUCUUCUUUCUCUACAUGAUCAUAUGACUUAUCAAGGCUGGAAUCAAGGAAUCAUGCUUAACUUGACUUGAGGGCCAAGAAAUGUGACUUUCCAGGAAGUCUAAGGUUAGAAAUCACCUCCUAAUGUGCUGAGGGAGAUUUGGUUAGUUGAGGGGUUUUGGAUUUAAAGUUGUUCUUGAUGUGAUUUAGGAGGAAAAAGUGUUAAAGGACCACCUGAAAGUCUAACCGAAUUAGGAGCAGCAAAACUAGAUGGAAGCUUGGGUACCCUUCCGUAGUUCGCUGAUGACCGUUUAUAAAGAGGAUUCCACUCUAGGUAGUCUUCUGAGUCUAGGGUGAAUUCCGUUCUUUGUUCAUAUGUAUAUACUGUGAGACCAGCCAACGUCUGCACCCCGUUUGUACGCGAACUUUAACCUAAAUCCUAUGUACGAGACUCUUGUUAUGUGGCUACUUGAUGAGGUACUGGAGUGACGUCAUAUGGCAAUGUCUGAUCGUGCAGAGGAGUAGUAGAUGAUGUUCCACCUUUUGAUAACGUUCCACCUGACUUGAGUUUUCAAGACUUAGAACAUACUUUCCCUCGCUUUAGUAGUUUAGAGGGACUAGGUGAGUAUAGAGUCUAGGCUAGUCUAGGUGCCAGCUUAGGGACCUCUUGAACAGGUCAGGACCUGGGAUGUUGUAUGUAUGUAUAUGUAUAUAGUUAUUAUCUAGCUAUAUCUA
This is a long non-coding RNA of Arachis duranensis, 812 nucleotides long. RefSeq lists it as uncharacterized. The transcript is spliced from 3 exons. The record is from RefSeq and is a predicted model, not a curated record. Lineage: Eukaryota; Viridiplantae; Streptophyta; Magnoliopsida; Fabales; Fabaceae.